Molecule: long non-coding RNA, 375 nt
Organism: Temnothorax curvispinosus
Lineage: Eukaryota; Metazoa; Arthropoda; Insecta; Hymenoptera; Formicidae
Exons: 4
Source: RefSeq, a predicted model, not a curated record
GUGGAUUUUGCGGCCAGAGCAGCCUGAAAGAAAGUGAAAAUAACGACGCUGAACGUGACAUCGGAGCAGCGAGGGAAUGCUGCGUAGCUGACAUUCCGAGCAGCCUGAGAGGAGGAGGAGGAGGCCUAGGAUAGGCAUCGGGCAUCAACGUACCAACACUUCUGAAAAUAUCCACGCUGGAAGGACCAUCAGCUUCGCAUCGAGGGAACACGAUGGACAUCUCGAGCAGCCUGAGAAGAGGUGGAGGCCUAGGAGAGGCAUCGGGCAUCGGCGUACUUAACACUUCUGAAAAUAUUCACGCAGGAAGGAGUAUCUUCGCAUCGAGGAAACAGUAACUGACAUCCCGAGCAGCCUGAGAGGAGGUGGAGGCCUAGG